RNAcentral lists this ribosomal RNA (497 nucleotides) under uncultured bacterium. Its description in RNAcentral is "partial 16S ribosomal RNA". It matches the Rfam family "Bacterial small subunit ribosomal RNA", at positions 28 to 507 of the family's 1533-position model. The record is from RNAcentral.
GAUGAACGCUGGCGGCGUGCCUAAUACAUGCAAGUCGAGCGAACAGACGAGGAGCUUGCUCCUCUGACGUUAGCGGCGGACGGGUGGGUAACACGUGGAUCACCUACUUAUAAGACUGGGAUAAUUUCGGGAAACCGGAGCUAAUACCGGAUAAUAUAUUGAACCGCAUGGUUCAAUAGUGAAAGACGGUUUUGCUGUCACUUAUAGCUGGAUCCGCGCCGCAUUAGCUAGUUGGUAAGGUAACGGCUUACCAAGGCGACGAUGCGUAGCCGACCUGAGAGGGUGAUCGGCCACACUGGAACUGAGACACGGUCCAGACUCCUACGGGAGGCAGCAGUAGGGAAUCUUCCGCAAUGGGCGAAAGCCUGACAGAGCAACGCCGCGUGAGUGAUGAAGGUCUUCGGAUCGUAAAACUCUGUUAUUAGGGAAGAACAAAUGUGUAAGUAACUAAGCACGUCUUGACGGUACCUAAUCAGAAAGCCACGGCUAACUACGUG